This 67-nucleotide transfer RNA is filed under the name Maccaffertium mediopunctatum. RNAcentral's name for it is "tRNA-Trp". The record is from RNAcentral. Lineage: Eukaryota; Metazoa; Arthropoda; Insecta; Ephemeroptera; Heptageniidae.
AAGGCUUUAUGUUAAAUAAACAAAUAGCCUUCAAAGCUAUCAAUAAAAGGGAAUCUUUUAAGCCUUA